This 465-nucleotide ribosomal RNA is filed under the name uncultured bacterium. RNAcentral describes it as "partial 16S ribosomal RNA". It matches the Rfam family "Bacterial small subunit ribosomal RNA", at positions 28 to 504 of the family's 1533-position model. The record is from RNAcentral.
GACGAACGCUGGCGGCGUGCUUAACACAUGCAAGUCGAACGGAAAGGCCCUGCUCUUGUGGGGUGCUCGAGUGGCGAACGGGUGAGUAACACGUGAGUAACCUGCCCUUGACUUUGGGAUAACUUCAGGAAACUGGGGCUAAUACCGGAUAGGAGCUCCUGCUGCAUGGUGGGGGUUGGAAAGUUUCGGCGGUUGGGGAUGGACUCGCGGCUUAUCAGCUUGUUGGUGGGGUAGUGGCUUACCAAGGUUUUGACGGGAAGCCGGCCUGAGAGGGUGACCGGCCACAUUGGGACUGGGAUACGGCGCAGACUCCUACGGGAGGCAGCAGUGGGGAAUAUUGCACAAUGGGCGGAAGCCUGAUGCAGCAACGCCGCGUGCGAGAUGACGGCCUUCGGGUUGUAAACCGCUUUCGCCUGUGACGAAGCGUGAGUGGCGGUAAUGGGUAAAGAAGCACCGGCUAACUAC